UCCUAGGGUCUCUCCCUCCAGUCUUCUUGGACAGAGUCCUGUGUGCCAUCUCCCGUCUCCUUUGCACGUUCUGCAGUGGAAGCAAGUCCUGUGGCCGUGCUGCUCCACACACUGUGUCCUCCCAGCACAGGCCUCUGCCUGCCUCAGGCUACAUUCCCAACCUGUUUCCCCACCAGGCACCUUUGCUGAGCCCAACAGUUACGUCUGCAGAAGGAACCGUCCGACAACGAGGCCACCCCAUGCUACAGCCUGCACCGUGCACCUCACUGGCCGCACGCCCUGCCUCCGUCUGUGUCUUCUCAAAGCCCCACCUGCCUGCAACCCCCGCCCUCUGUCUGCCUGGGCAUGCUGGAGGGCCCUCCCUGUAACAGGCUCCCCGGCCCUGCACCCUGGCUCAGCUGACCUGGCUGAGAUGGUCUCAAUGCUCACAGGGGAGAUAGGGAGACCUCAUGCUGCUUCUCCAGGCUCCCCUGACCUCUGAGUGGGGCGGAUCCGUUUCUGUCACACUGAAUGCAUUUACUGUUUCCCAUUUGGACUGAGCCAGCGGAGCACUGAGACCACGCCACACAGGGCCAGCCUGGGAGGAGAAGGGGCUCUUGUUUCUGCCGGGUCCUCAGCAGCUGCACAGUCUCCUCCUCCUGGGGCCUCCCUCCCUCCCAGGCUGCGAGCCAGUGGUUGAAGAUUUUCUCUGGAGGCAUUUUCAGAUCUGGCCUAGCACGGCCCCAGGUAUCCCGUCCUACCUGCCAGCAGCUAACGACACUCGGAUGAAUCACUGGCCCGAGCAGGUGCUCAUUCACACUUCCCAGUUCACUGGAUGCGCCGUGGGAGCCGCUGAGACGUGGGCACAGAAGGCACAUCUCCCUGGGACCCGAGAAGGCAACAGAGCCCCCGCAUCCCCCCAGCACGAUGCAGAAGGGCUGGGCCCAUAGCAGCUACCUGUGUGGUCACUCAGCCCUGAGCUCAGAAGUGCCGGGGCUCAGAGGACACCCUGCUGUUGCCACCGGGCACCCUUCACCAUCUCUGAACAAGGCCUGGGAUUUCUCUGUGACCUAGGCCCCCACAGGGUACAGUGGUCCUGACCCUACAUCCAUGUACAGGGAAUGCUGACCGCGGCAGCUCCGUGUUCACAGCCCUGGACACACAGAAAUGACUGUGAUGUGGCCCUGACCUCAGUAGUGUAGAAGGAACCCACUGAAGGAGACCGAGGUGGGGAACCUACAGGGCCUAAUGGAAACCCCAGCUGGGUGGGUGGCGGCCAUGCAGCUGGGAGUGAGUGUGAGGGUGCCUGGGGAUGGAGACGGUGCCGGGGAUGGAGACAGACACGGUCUCCAUGAGAAAGCUGGGCUUAAUCCUGACAGAGGGAGGCGGCCUGGAGGCCAUACAGGGAAGAGGGGCUCAGGAGGUUUGGAAACAGGAUUUCAGGACUGCCUGCGCUGCAGGUGGGUGCUGGCCACUGGUCUAGCCUGAUCUGGCACCCUGGUGGUGCAUGCCAUUGGAGGGGCUCCCUGUAUCUGUACUGUGGGGCCUUCCUGUCACAGGGUGGGCUCACAGGUCCUGCCCAUCCCUGCAUGGGAUGUGGGUGAGCUUUGCUCUGAGGAGGCCGACGUGAGCCUCCUGAUCAGCCGGACACAAAGUGGGCAGAGGGGCACCGAGCCCCCGGAGGCUCUGGGAGUGGGAAACCACCGAUCUGUAUGAGCUCAGGUGCCUCCUGGGACAGCCUGGAGGACAGUGGCUGUGAGGGGCUGUCACUGCAGCUCAUGGUAGGCAGCCCACCUUCCCAUUCAGAAAGGCUUUCCAGAAGGGGACGGCUGUGGAUGAACAGGCAGCGUCCUCCUGUCCUGUUUCCAUGCCUCUGACCACCCUCUACCUCUUCCCCUCGUCCCCUAAGCAGGCGUCCCUGUGAAGCGGCUACACAACCAGAGCGGGGCUCUAGGGGAGGGUCCUGGCACCUCUUCCAGCACCCAGUGGCUCCCGGUUUCCCUGGUUUGUGGCCUCUCUGCUCCCGUCUCUGCCUCUGUCUUCAUGCGGCCUCCCUACUGUGUCUGUCUCUGUCUCAUUCUCCUUUCUUUUAUGAAAACACAGCCAUUGGAUUUAGGGUCCACCUUAAAUCUAGAUGAUCACGCCUCCAGAUCCUUAACUUAAUUACAUCUGCAGAAACCAAAUAAGGUCACAUUGUUAGGUACCAGAGAUUAGGGUGUGGCUGUGCCAUUUGCGGGGGAUCACUCCAUAACCCACCAUGCAGCCCUAAGCUGUGUGACCGGCAGCAAGUCCCUGUCCUUCUUGGGGCCUCUGAUCCCUCGCAUGUGAGCAUGAGCCCCCCUCAGAGGGACACAUAAGGGAUCAAGUGAGUCCCACGUUCAGUGUGGUGCCUGUCAUGUUGUCUAGGGGUCUCUGGGUUCUGCGAACCAGGAGGCAGAAUUAGGAGCAAGAAUUAGGACCAGAUGGAUGGGAGCUGACACUGUCCCAGUGUGACCAGGGAAACAGAUCUCUCCAGGACCUCGACAGCAUGCCCUGGGCAGAGGCCGGUUGUCAUCACCCCGUAGGGCUCAGGCCUUCCCUGGCUUCCCAGAGGGAGGCAGGAUGAGAUCAGUUCCAAGGGUCCUUCCAGAUCUCGCAGAAAGUGCCCUCGCUUUAUUGCACCUCCAUUCAAGCUGAAAGAGAUGGCCAACCAAAUUAGCCCAGGAUUGAACAGAAAUUGAUUUUAAUUUAAAGCCCUUUGAGUGCUUUCUCCUCUCAGAUGAAAGAAGAGUAGGCUGAGAUGUGUCUCCUGUUGCCCCAUAACUGUAUCUGAGCCAACUUUCAGCCCCACACUGUCUGCUCCAGAUGAGGCAGCUUUUCUCAUUGUCUCUGGGUGGUGACUGAGCUUUACCUCCAAACUGCAAAGGAAUCUCAUUCUUUUAUUCCAGUCUGGUGCCAUCGCACACACUCUGACACAUAUUCCCCUGCACUAAGAGAUGAAGGUUGAACUGAGCCUUCCAGAACAGUGCAACGCAAGGGGCUGAAACAGGGGCCUGGGUCCACCAUUCCCUAAUCCAGGAGGAGCGACAUCUGAGAGUCCCCAGCUCAGACACUUCCCUCCAGGGGAGCGGCCAUCCCUGUGUGUGAUGGACGGCGCAAUCCCAAAUGCACUGGCUGGGAGAUUCUGGAGUCGGGAGCUCAGUGGCACCACCUUCGGAAGUUCAAGUUGAACACCUAGGAGACUUAGAGUUGGCACCGUGUUGGUGCCAUGUGCUUAGCGUAUGGCGCUGUGUGCUUAGGAGAGAGCCUGGGUCAUGAGGAUCCCCAUGCCCCAGGGGCCCCUCUUUGGCCCUUAGCCCCAAAUCCCAUUAACCAGGCAGGUGAGGCCAGGGACAUGUCUGUCCCUUCUGAGGCCCAAGCCCACUUGGUGUUCCUCAUGGUGCGGCAUGCAGGCAGAUUGACCAAGAUGGCUAUUGAGGCUGGAGUCCCAAGCCCCUCACCCACGCAGGCUGGCCAAGAACCUGGAAGGAACCUCAGGCCCCACAAAACGUGAAACCAUGGCUGCCCAUCCUUCUUCCCCUAGUCCUUGAAAUCCAUCCCCUCCAUCCAUCCAGCCUGUGAAUUUACCCCCAGGCCAAGGAGCAUAGCUGCAGAGCAAGGGUCCCUCCUGCAGGGUCAGGCUCUGGAAGGUGACCAGAAACCCCAGAAACCCCACCCCUGCCUCCCCUCCCUAGCCAUGACCGUAACUCCCACUGCACUGAGAAAAUCAAGGGCCAGAAGCCCCUGCACCACCUCCCCCACUGCAGUAAAAGAGGGGUUCGCCCUUGCCCCCAUCGCCCACCAGCACCCCCUUCACCCUGGUCACAGCCUUGCACCAUGGGGCACCGCCUGCAUCUCACCCCAGCCCUGCCCAGUUCCUCUGCCCUUGGCAUUUUAGCUGCUCCAAGUGCCUCCUUUCUCAGAACCGUCCCCAGACCCUGCAUCCCGCUAGCGAUCUUCACCCUCUCCCGCUCCUGGUGGUCAAAUCUUUAAAAGACCGCCUGUGUUUGCCAUGCCUUCCUUCUGCCCUCUCAGUGACCAGGUCUCCAGGAGGGUCUUUCCUGAGCAGGUGCACGACACGCCUCUGAGGCCCCCCUGCAGCUCAUGCUGCCUUUAUCCUUGUGUCAGAAGCUCUUUUCUCUGCUCCCAGACUGAUUUUGGAAGGCUGACUUUUAGAAAUGAUGAUGCUAUUUGAUCCAAGGGUUUCAACAGAUCAUCUUAAGCCUGGAGCCUAGAAUAAUAAAACUCUAGACUUGAGGGACCUGCAGAAAUCAUGUGGCCCCAAAUGCUGAUGACACUGUGCAAAGUGUCAUGAGGGCAUGAAGGUGGUUUUCAUUAUGAAAGCUCAAACCGGUGCCCAGAAAGGGGAAGCAACUUACCCAAAGACGCACAUUGGCUUAGCUGAGCUGGGACUGGGCACCACAGUCCUGAUCCCUGGCUCCACCCUGUCCUGAGAUCGCUCUUGUGUCACCAAAUUUCUGCCUCUUUCCGCGACAGCGCUCCACUUUCUCGUCCUUACAGCUUCCGUAGAAGCAAGACGAGCAGUUUUCGUUGCUGAAUUUUGAACAUAAUAAAAAGAAAAGUGCUUUCAAGGACAUUGAGUCUCUUCAGUUGGUGACUCCCGCAGCCUGUGAUGAAAGCGCCUUGCUUUCUGCCCAGGGAGGUGCCUGUGCAUACCUGGAAUUGUACACAUUCCUUUGGAUCAUGUGUCUGAGCAA
This 4715-nucleotide long non-coding RNA is filed under the name Homo sapiens (human). RNAcentral describes it as "HSALNT0049722". Lineage: Eukaryota; Metazoa; Chordata; Mammalia; Primates; Hominidae. The record is from RNAcentral.